RNAcentral lists this ribosomal RNA (818 nucleotides) under Pseudomonas sp. RNAcentral describes it as "bacterial SSU rRNA". It matches the Rfam family "Bacterial small subunit ribosomal RNA", at positions 42 to 863 of the family's 1533-position model. The record is from RNAcentral. Lineage: Bacteria; Pseudomonadati; Pseudomonadota; Gammaproteobacteria; Pseudomonadales; Pseudomonadaceae.
GAUUGCGCAGCUACCAUGCAGUCGAGCGGUAGAGAGAAGCUUGCUUCUCUUGAGAGCGGCGGACGGGUGAGUAAUGCCUAGGAAUCUGCCUGGUAGUGGGGGAUAACGUUCGGAAACGAACGCUAAUACCGCAUACGUCCUACGGGAGAAAGCAGGGGACCUUCGGGCCUUGCGCUAUCAGAUGAGCCUAGGUCGGAUUAGCUAGUUGGUGGGGUAAUGGCUCACCAAGGCGACGAUCCGUAACUGGUCUGAGAGGAUGAUCAGUCACACUGGAACUGAGACACGGUCCAGACUCCUACGGGAGGCAGCAGUGGGGAAUAUUGGACAAUGGGCGAAAGCCUGAUCCAGCCAUGCCGCGUGUGUGAAGAAGGUCUUCGGAUUGUAAAGCACUUUAAGUUGGGAGGAAGGGCCAUUACCUAAUACGUGAUGGUUUUGACGUUACCGACAGAAUAAGCACCGGCUAACUCUGUGCCAGCAGCCGCGGUAAUACAGAGGGUGCAAGCGUUAAUCGGAAUUACUGGGCGUAAAGCGCGCGUAUGUGGUUUGUUAAGUUGGAUGUGAAAUCCCCGGGCUCAACCUGGGAACUGCAUUCAAAACUGACUGACUAAAGUAUGGUAUAGGGUGGUGGAAUUUCCUGUGUAUCGGUGAUUGCGUAUAUAUAGGAAAGAACACCACUGGUGAAUGCUACCACCUGUACUGUUCCUGCCACUGACGUGCGAAGCUUGGGAGCAAUCCGGAAACAUACCCACUAGCCACCCUUACACCAUGACAAUUAACGUCGGAACCAUGACUCUUCUGACAUAGACUUUCUUCUUUUA